CUUGUAUUCUGUGGCCUUAAAGGAAAUGAAAUUAUGAAUGUUAAUUGUGUCGGUUUGUCUUCUCAUGUAAUACCAAUAAGGGCUUUUCUGAGUAUCUUGCUUCGCCUUGUAAGAAGUCCAGGCACAGUGAUGCAACACAGUCAGAGAGCUCACAAUGUAAACAGAUGAUUGAAUACGCUGCUUGAAACCAUGGGGUAAAUGUGUGAGUGGCACUUAAGUGGAACGGUUAAAAUUCAGGAUUUCCUGAAAAAUGGCUAAAAAACCCCUAGCUCCAAUUUUCUGUUCUAAUAUCAGUGUUUCCUAUUAUAGGUUACAAUUGUGAUGCUAUUUUAUCAUCUGUUGUUCUUCCUAAAA
Oxyura jamaicensis (ruddy duck) is the source of this 354-nucleotide long non-coding RNA. RefSeq lists it as uncharacterized. The record is from RefSeq and is a predicted model, not a curated record. Lineage: Eukaryota; Metazoa; Chordata; Aves; Anseriformes; Anatidae. The transcript has 2 exons.